UACAGAGGGUGCGAGCGUUGUCCGGAAUCACUGGGCGUAAAGGGCGCGUAGGUGGCGCCGCAAGUCCAUGGUGAAAGCUCGAUGCUCAACAUCGAGUCGGCCACGGAGACUGCGGGGCUCGAGCACUGUAGGGGCAGAUGGAAUUCCUGGUGUAGCGGUGGAAUGCGCAGAUAUCAGGAGGAACACCGGUGGCGAAGGCGGGUCUCUGGGCAGUAACUGACGCUGAGGAGCGAAAGCGUGGGGAGCGAACAGG
Molecule: ribosomal RNA, 253 nt
Filed under: uncultured bacterium
Lineage: Bacteria
Description: partial 16S ribosomal RNA
Rfam family: Bacterial small subunit ribosomal RNA
Source: RNAcentral